This 373-nucleotide unclassified non-coding RNA is filed under the name uncultured Gammaproteobacteria bacterium. RNAcentral's name for it is "contains 16S-23S intergenic spacer region". The record is from RNAcentral. Lineage: Bacteria; Pseudomonadati; Pseudomonadota; Gammaproteobacteria.
UCCGGUUUGUCACCGGCAGUCUCCCUAGAGUGCCCUUGCGUAGCAACUAAUGACAAGGGUUGCGCUCGUUGCGGGACUUAACCCAACACCUCACGACACGAGCUGACGACAGCCAUGCAGCACCUGUGUUCCCGUUCCCUUUCGGGCACAGCCGGAUCUCUCCAGCCUUCAGGACAUGUCAAGGGUAGGUAAGGUUUUUCGCGUUGCAUCGAAUUAAUCCACAUAAUCCACCGCUUGUGCGGGUCCCCGUCAAUUCCUUUGAGUUUUAACCUUGCGGCCGUACUCCCAGGCGGUCGACUUCACGCGUUAGCUUCGUCACUGAGAGCCUGAUUGCUCCCAACGUCCAGUUCGCAUCGUUUAGGGCGUGGACUAC